This 440-nucleotide ribosomal RNA is filed under the name uncultured bacterium. Its description in RNAcentral is "partial 16S ribosomal RNA". It matches the Rfam family "Bacterial small subunit ribosomal RNA", at positions 338 to 795 of the family's 1533-position model. The record is from RNAcentral.
CCUACGGGAGGCAGCAGUGGGGGAUAUUGCACAAUGGGGGAAACCCUGAUGCAGCGACGUCGCGUGGGUGAAUAAGGGCCUCGGCGCGUAAAGCCCUGUCAGCAGGGAAGCAAAUGACGGUACCUGACGAAGAAGCCCCGGCUAACUACGUGCCAGCAGCCGCGGUAAUACGUAGGGGGCCAGCGUUAUCCGGAUUUACUGGGUGUAAAGGGGGCGCAGACGGCGAUGCAAGCCCGGAGGGGAAGCCCUGGGCCCCACCCCGGGACUGCCGGUGGAACUGCGUGGCUAGAGUGCAGGAGGGGCAUGCGGAAUGCGUGGUGUAGUGGUGAAAUGCGUAGAUAUCAGGAGGAACACCGGUGGCGAAGGCAGCCUGCUGGACUGCAACUGACGUUGAGGCACGAAAGCGUGGGGAGCGAACAGGAUUAGAUACCCGGGUAGUC